UACGUAGGUGGCAAGCGUUAUCCGGAAUUACUGGGCGUAAAGCGCACGCAGGUGGUUUGCUAAGAUUGACGUGAAAGCGCCUGGCUUAACUGGGCGAGGUCGUGGAUGACUGGCAGACUUGAGGCGAGGAGAGGGGUGUAGAAUUCCCGGUGUAGUGGUGGAAUGCGUAGAUAUCGGGAGGAAUACCAGUGGCGCAAGCGGCACCCUGGCCUUGGUCCUGACGCUCAGGUGCGAAAGCGUGGGGAGCGAAC
RNAcentral lists this ribosomal RNA (251 nucleotides) under uncultured bacterium. RNAcentral's name for it is "partial 16S ribosomal RNA". It matches the Rfam family "Bacterial small subunit ribosomal RNA", at positions 524 to 773 of the family's 1533-position model. The record is from RNAcentral.